CACGUAAGGCGCUAGCGUUGUUCGGAAUCAUUGGGCGUAAAGGGCGUGUAGGCGGCCGCGCAAGUCUGGAGUGAAAUCCCCGGGCCCAACCCGGGGGCCGCUCUGGAAACUGCGCGGCUGGAGUCGCCGAGGCGGGGCCGGAAUUCCAGGUGUAGGGGUGAAAUCUGUAGAUAUCUGGAAGAACACCGGUGGCGAAGGCAGGCCCCGAGCGGACGACUGACGCUGAGGCGCGAAGGCGCGGGGAG
RNAcentral lists this ribosomal RNA (245 nucleotides) under uncultured Sphaerochaeta sp. RNAcentral describes it as "partial 16S ribosomal RNA". It matches the Rfam family "Bacterial small subunit ribosomal RNA", at positions 524 to 768 of the family's 1533-position model. Lineage: Bacteria; Pseudomonadati; Spirochaetota; Spirochaetia; Spirochaetales; Sphaerochaetaceae. The record is from RNAcentral.